UACAGAGGUCCCGAGCGUUGUUCGGAUUCAUUGGGCGUAAAGGGUGCGUAGGCGGUUUGCUAAGUUUGAUGUGAAAUCCCGGGGCUCAACCCUGGAAUUGCAUUGAAUACUGGUGAACUAGAGUACUGGAGAGGAAACUGGAAUUUACGGUGUAGCAGUGAAAUGCGUAGAGAUCGUAAGGAAGACCAGUGGCGAAGGCGAGUUUCUGGACAGUUACUGACGCUGAGGCACGAAGGCCAGGGGAGCAAACGGG
RNAcentral lists this ribosomal RNA (253 nucleotides) under uncultured bacterium. RNAcentral describes it as "partial 16S ribosomal RNA". It matches the Rfam family "Bacterial small subunit ribosomal RNA", at positions 524 to 776 of the family's 1533-position model. The record is from RNAcentral.